CCCUAGUAACGGCGAGUGAAGCGGCAACAGCUCAAAUUUGAAAUCUGGCGUCUUCGGCGUCCGAGUUGUAAUUUGCAGAGGGCGCUUUGGCAUUGGCAGCGGUCCAAGUUCCUUGGAACAGGACGUCACAGAGGGUGAGAAUCCCGUACGUGGUCGCUAGCCUUUACCGUGUAAAGCCCCUUCGACGAGUCGAGUUGUUUGGGAAUGCAGCUCUAAAUGGGAGGUAAAUUUCUUCUAAAGCUAAAUACUGGCCAGAGACCGAUAGCGCACAAGUAGAGUGAUCGAAAGAUGAAAAGCACUUUGGAAAGAGAGUUAAAAAGCACGUGAAAUUGUUGAAAGGGAAGCGCUUGCAGCCAGACUUGCCUGUAGUUGCUCAUCCGGGUUUCUACCCGGUGCACUCUUCUAUAGGCAGGCCAGCAUCAGUUUGGGCGGUUGGAUAAAGGUCUCUGUCAUGUACCUCUCUUCGGGGAGAACUUAUAGGGGAGACGUCAUGCAACCAGCCUGGACUGAGGUCCGCGCAUCUGCUAGGAUGCUGGCGUAAUGGCUGUAAGCGGCCCGUCUUGAAACACGGACCAAGGAGUCUAACAUCUAUGCGAGUGUUUGGGUGUCAAGCCCGAGCGCGUAAUGAAAGUGAACGGAGGUGGGAACCUUUCGGGGUGCACCAUCGACCGAUCCUGAUGUCUUCGGAUGGAUUUGAGUAAGAGCAUAGCUGUUGGGACCCGAAAGAUGGUGAACUAUGCUUGAAUAGGGUGAAGCCAGAGGAAACUCUGGUGGAGGCUCGCAGCGGUUCUGACGUGCAAAUCGAUCGUCAAAUUUGGGCAUAGGGGCGAAAGACUAAUCGAACUAUCUAGUAGCUGGUUCCUGCCGAAGUUUCCCUCAGGAUAGCAGUAACGUUUUCAGUUUUAUGAGGUAAAGCGAAUGAUUAGAGGCCUGGGGGUUGAAACAACCUU
RNAcentral lists this ribosomal RNA (950 nucleotides) under Didymella lethalis. Its description in RNAcentral is "eukaryotic LSU rRNA". It matches the Rfam family "Eukaryotic large subunit ribosomal RNA", at positions 78 to 1048 of the family's 3401-position model. Lineage: Eukaryota; Fungi; Ascomycota; Dothideomycetes; Pleosporales; Didymellaceae. The record is from RNAcentral.